Lolium rigidum is the source of this 2053-nucleotide long non-coding RNA. RefSeq lists it as uncharacterized. The transcript has 3 exons. NCBI's taxonomy places the organism in Eukaryota, Viridiplantae, Streptophyta, Magnoliopsida, Poales, Poaceae. The record is from RefSeq and is a predicted model, not a curated record.
UCCGGAUGGUGUUGCCGGCGUGGCUAGGCCUCUUGUAGGCGCAGACGGCAAGCCUGGACCUGGUACCUGGAGGCCGCGGCAAGGGACGCAUGCAUCCUCCAGGACAUUGUCAACCGGUGGAGCGGGUCGUGGGUGAGGCCGCCAGGAGGAGCAUGAUGCAGUUGUGUAUUAGAUUCUCUGUCCAGGGCUUCUCCCCACCACUGGUCCUUGCUUUCCCCACCGCCGGCUUCUCUGUUUGCUGUUCGGUUGAUGGUGAUACCCGGCCCCUUCUUCUUCCAUCAACUCUCUGUAACGUGUUGCCUUGGUUUGACCUGUAGACUAGGUUGCAUUUUUAUUUUGCCAUUCUCAUGUGUUCACGAAUUAAUUUUCAGUCAUUUCUUUAUGCUUGCAGGCUGCUCCUGCUGUUCUAGAUCGUUGCUCCUCCUGUUCUAGAUCGUUGGAGAUGUUCUUGAUCUGAUGUGCUUAAUCUAAGUGUCGAGGCAUGAACACAUAGUAAUGUGGAUUUUCUGAAAUAUUUAAUUUAUUUUGGCUUGAUUAGCACUUGGAUUUCAAAUGAGGACGGAGUUGUUUUUCUUUUGGCCUUGGUCUAUUUUUUUUGACAUGUUUGGUUGUGACUGCAAUUGCUUUGAUGGACCGGCUAGGAUGUUAAACAAAAUUCUAGGAAUGUAGGCAGCUGUUGAGAUGUGCUACUGCAUAAAAAUAUUGUAUGUUCCAAGCUGUUGAUUUAUCAAGUUUGUUUCUCUAGCUUAUAUGGUGUGGACUAUCUGUCGAUGAAUCUGAACUUUAACACAGACUGUUCGGUUUGCGGCAGUUUCAGGUUGGUGCUCUUACUUGGGCAGUACCACCUACUGGCAGUAGAUUAGUAAUGGAUGGUUACACAUGCGCAGGUCACCUGCUAUCUCAGGUAUUUUCUCCAAAUCCAUUCAUGAAAAUGGGUGUUAGGUAUCUGCGUGUUGUGUACAUUUCUGACUAUGUGAGCAAAUUGUCCCCUGCUACUUCUGUUGGCUCGAACUGUUUGUCCAGCUUCUACUUCUGCCCGUUGUCGAGCCAUUUUCUCUUAACGAGAGCAUGCCGGUUUAGCCUGUGAUUUUUCUGUUGACAUAGACGCUUGGAGGCUUGCAAUUCAUCUUGGCUUAUUGGAUUUCUUUGGUCUUUCUGAAAGGUGAUCGGUCUUAGUAACUCUACUGAUUAAUCUACGGAUCUGCAGGCUGGCUCUGUUUAUUAUCCUUUUUCAGGCUGCUCUUCUUCAGGUUCAGGUCCUACAUCAGACAGUGGGUGCUGUCAUAUUCUCUUUCUUGAUGCACUGGUGGUUCGGAUUUGAAUAUGGGGUACACAUAUAAAUAUGUAUGUUCUUGGAAGGGACUCUAUGCUAUUGAUACUAUACUGCUUAUCAACUUGAUCUCCCACUACGUCCUCAAUGUUCGAGUUGAAUUGUUAAUUAUCAAGUGGCAUACAAGACCUACUGUGAGGGCGAGAUUCAGCACAGAAAAAGAAGUACAGAACCAAUACAGUUUUUCGAUCCAACAAUGCUUAGCCUUCCCUUAAGUUUGUAGUUCUUGCUCUGGAUAUUGGGUUACUAUCGAAGAAAUCUUCUGCUAUUUUGAAUAAAUCGGUUUCAUUGGUUCUAUCCUUGAAUGAUAACUGGCAGGAGAUCAAGGUAUGGAAGAAGACUCUUGAAUUUGUGGGAUAACAUAAGUGAGGGAUCUGUUCAAAUAGCAGAGGAAACUGUAGCGUACAAAAUUCACUAUGAACUGCAUUUAUCUGCAGGAUUAUAAGAUAUUCAGAAGGGGCAAGUGAAAGUAAACUUAAUGUAGUUCCGUAGAUUGUAGGAUAUCCGCUCUAUGUCGGAAAAUCAUUCACACACUAUUUUUCCCUAUCCUGUGUGACCCUUCAAUCCUGAAAAAUUAUUUGUCCUCAACUCCACCCUGGCCAUUUGGCCGUCGGUAAGUACAAGUCCUAAUAGUAUUGUACUAAUGUGCAAAUGUACAAUUUACUGAAUGCCGCGUUUGAUUCCUGCCUAUUGCCCAAUACUUUCUUUUGUUUUUGUUGUGAA